GUAUAUCGUAAUUUUUACAUUUAUAAUUAAUCUAAAGUAUACAGUUCAAAACUGUUCAAUAUGCAUACUGUUGUGGAAAUGAAAACAAAAAUUGUAGUAGCGCUGUAACCUUUGCAUUUAAUUCUCCUGAUAGCCUAAAUUAUGUAAAAAUAAACAAAUACUUGCAAUCGUCUUAAGUUGUGGGUCCUGAAUCUGGAAUCUAUUAAAGUUUGACUUUUUGAAUGGAAUUAUGGAAAUUAAAUAUCUUUCCACGAAAUGUUCUGUACUGUAAAUUAUCUUGUUGCCAAUAUUGGAUUUUUUUCAUUAACAAAUAAAUUAAAAUAAUCUGUACUCAGUCACAGAAAAUGUUUUAGAGAUAUUUGUAGUCUAUAUUGUAAUAUAAUUUAUUCGGUUUAGCAAAAGUCAUGUAAGUCAAGUUUCCUGCCUGUAGACCUGGCAGGCAGCCUGUAGUCAGUCUUAAUUAAUGGGGCCACUGCACCUGGUCCGCGCGGACAGGCGAACUUGAGUUCUGGCGGAACUUUGGAAGCGGUGGAUUUGAGCGGACCGAUCAGCGCGCUGCAUUUGAGGACCCGUCGCACUCGGUGGUUGGCGUUUUUGUCCAGCUAUUCCGCUCAGAUUGUGCAGAGACUUCAUCAUCCAACCUUCUCCGUCUGAUCGGCUCUCGUUCUCAGAGUGAAAAUCCAGCUAUCAUCGGACCAGAGCGGACUCCGGAAACGUAUCGAUCUGCCACUAAACAGCUGGAAAGAGAGGAUGUGACAGAAGUACAGGGGACUAAGUUCAGAUACGACGGAUACACAAAAGGACAUCCACGAUGCCAUUCGAGCAGCGCUUCCUGGUCUUUCACAGGAAGUUUUGGCCGCUUUAGAGGACGUUUCGGAGAAACUCGGCACCGCAACCGCAGACGAUUUCCAGUAUAUCACCGAAGGAGACUUGCAGCCUGUGCCGAAGCCCAUUCGGGCCAGAAGACCGGUCGCUGCACGGGCCCAAAAUAGUAAGUAUUUUGAGAUAAAGUCUUGUGUAACUUUAGCAU
This is an RNA transcript of Xiphophorus couchianus (Monterrey platyfish), 1030 nucleotides long. RefSeq lists it as uncharacterized. The transcript has 3 exons. Lineage: Eukaryota; Metazoa; Chordata; Actinopteri; Cyprinodontiformes; Poeciliidae. The record is from RefSeq and is a predicted model, not a curated record.